Pelobates cultripes (western spadefoot toad) is the source of this 383-nucleotide non-coding RNA. The record is from the annotation of a GenBank genome assembly. Lineage: Eukaryota; Metazoa; Chordata; Amphibia; Anura; Pelobatidae.
CAUGUACUUCCCCUGGGGUUAAAUGUUAAAGGCCUCUCUGCCUUCACAUAAUCACAAUAUAUAUAUAUAUAUAUAUAUAUAUAUAUAUAUUUUUUUUUUCUAAUUGGGGUAGCCCCCAAAAUAUUGGGACAUAUAAAAAAAGACAACUCUGUUCCACAGAGUAGCUGUUGACAUUAUAGUUGCACAGGAACUUUGUUGACUCUAGAGAACCUCGGGCAAAUCGCACAUCCCCAUGGUGGCUACUUUGCAUGCGGAUGUCAUCCAUAUCAACUUCCGAUGCCAGUUUCUGCGCCUACCAUGGUGACCACGGGUAACGGGGAAUCAGGGUUCCAUUCCGUACAGGGACCCUGAAAAACGGCUACCACAUGCAAGGAAGGCAGCAG